UACGGGGGGGGCAAGCGUUGUUCGGAAUUACUGGGCGUAAAGCGCGCGCAGGCGGUCUUCCAAGUCAGUGGUGAAAGCCUGGAGCUCAACUCCAGAACUGCCAUUGAAACUGUUAGACUUGAGUACGAGAGAGGUGAGUGGAAUUCCCAGUGUAGAGGUGAAAUUCGUAGAUAUUGGGAAGAACACCAGUGGCGAAGGCGGCUCACUGGCUCGUAACUGACGCUCAGGCGCGACAGCGUGGGGAUCAAACAGG
RNAcentral lists this ribosomal RNA (253 nucleotides) under uncultured bacterium. Its description in RNAcentral is "partial 16S ribosomal RNA". It matches the Rfam family "Bacterial small subunit ribosomal RNA", at positions 524 to 776 of the family's 1533-position model. The record is from RNAcentral.